This 440-nucleotide ribosomal RNA is filed under the name uncultured bacterium. Its description in RNAcentral is "bacterial SSU rRNA". It matches the Rfam family "Bacterial small subunit ribosomal RNA", at positions 338 to 795 of the family's 1533-position model. The record is from RNAcentral.
CCUACGGGCGGCAGCAGUGGGGAAUAUUGGACAAUGGGGGCAACCCUGAUCCAGCCAUGCCGCGUGAGUGAUGAAGGCCCUAGGGUUGUAAAGCUCUUUUGUGCGGGAAGAUAAUGACGGUACCGCAAGAAUAAGCCCCGGCUAACUUCGUGCCAGCAGCCGCGGUAAUACGAAGGGGGCUAGCGUUGCUCGGAAUCACUGGGCGUAAAGGGUGCGUAGGCGGGUCUUUAAGUCAGGUGUGAAAUCCUGGAGCACAACUCCAGAACUGCCUUUGAGACUGAAGAUCUUGAGUUCGGGAGAGGUGAGUGGAACUGCGAGUGUAGAGGUGAAAUUCGUAGAUAUUCGCAAGAACACCAGUGGCGAAGGCGGCUCACUGGCCCGAUACUGACGCUGAGGCACGAAAGCGUGGGGAGCAAACAGGAUUAGAUACCCUGGUAGUC